Gossypium arboreum is the source of this 1490-nucleotide RNA transcript. It is a transcript of the gene named deacetoxyvindoline 4-hydroxylase-like, with no coding region annotated. The transcript is spliced from 3 exons. The record is from RefSeq and is a predicted model, not a curated record. NCBI's taxonomy places the organism in Eukaryota, Viridiplantae, Streptophyta, Magnoliopsida, Malvales, Malvaceae.
CAUUAAAAUAAGAAAAGAAAGAGGCUGCUUUUUCUUUUCAUAACAACUAUAUAUAUGUAGAUAGUCAGGGUGUCAAAGAUUCUCAAAAGCCAAAAUUCUUGAACAUGGCAGAAAUAAGCUUAGAACGAGCUCAAGAAUCCAUUGUCAAUCGACAACAGGAAUUGAAAGCUUUCGAUGAAACAAAAUCAGGAGUGAAAGCGCUGGUAGAUUCGGGCUUGUCAAAGAUUCCAACGAUUUUCACCGACGAACAGUACAAGCUUGAGAGAAACAACAUCCACAACCAGAAACCUGGAAGCCCCACCAACAAUGACGGAAUCCCAAUCAUAAACUUGACCGGUGUCGACGAUAAUCCAAAUUUACGUCGCGAAAUAGUGAAGAAAGUUGGAGAAGCUUGCGAGAAAUGGGGUUUCUUUCAAGUUAUCAACCAUGGGAUUCCGUUGGCUACUACGGAUGAAAUGAUAAACGGGGUUCGCAGGUUUCAUGAACAGGAUGACGAAGCUAAGAAAGAGAUUUAUUCUCGAGAUUAUUCCAAGAAAGUGUAUUAUAACAGUAACAUCGAUCUUUACAAGGCGGAAGCAACCAAUUGGAGGGAUACUUUGUGUUGUGUUAUGGCACCUCGCCACCCUCUUCCUCAAGAACUGCCUGCAAUUUGCAGAGAUAUAAUGAUAGAAUAUUCAAGCAAAAUGAUGAAAUUAGGGCAGACUUUGUUAGAAUUGAUGUCGGAAGCCUUGGGUUUGAAUCGGAGUUAUUUGGAAGAUAUUGGGUGCGGUGAGGGAAUGUUUGUGAAAGGCCAUUACUAUCCACCGUGCCCUGAACCGGACUUGACAUUGGGCACCAGCAGUCACACCGAUACCGGCUUCUGCACCGUAAUUUUACAAGAUGAAAUCGGCGGACUUCAAAUCCUCUAUCAAAAUCAAUAGCUUGAUAUUAAUCCUGUCCGGGGAGCUCUUGUUGUAAAUUUGGGCGAUAUGAUGCAGUUAAUAGCUAAUGACAAAUUUGUAAGUAUUGAGCAUAGAGUGCUUGCUAAUAAAAAAGGUCCAAGAAUUUCAGUAGCAAGUUUCUUUAGAACACAACUUCCACCAGAGAAUACCUCGAGGCUUUAUGGACCAAUCAAGGAGUUGACAUCUCAAGAAAACCCUCCACUCUAUAAGGAGACUACUAUGAAGGACUUUGUGGCAAAUUACUGCUCGAAAGCAAUUCAUUGCAAAUCUCUCCAAUACCUUAGGUUAUGAGUUGUUGGUGAACUACUUUCAAGUUUAUUUCCAUCUUUCAAGUGCCAAAUCAUUUUGGAACUAUUUGAGUCCGAAACUUUACUUCAAUAAGACAGUGAAAUGAAUUAUGUAUUUCUAGAUUAUUGUGUUGCUUGUAAACUUAAUCGAACUACUUUUAAGUUUAUUUCCAUCUUUCAAGUGCCAAAUCAUUUUGGAACUAUCCAAGUCCAAAACUUUACUUCAAUAAGGCAAUGAAAUGAAUUAUGUAUUUAUAGAUUA